This 310-nucleotide unclassified non-coding RNA is filed under the name plant metagenome. RNAcentral describes it as "partial contains 5.8S ribosomal RNA, internal transcribed spacer 2, and large subunit ribosomal RNA". The stretch from base 1 to 105 matches the Rfam family "5.8S ribosomal RNA", at positions 50 to 154 of the family's 154-position model. The record is from RNAcentral.
GAAAUGCGAUAAGUAGUGUGAAUUACAGAAUUCAGUGAAUCAUCGAAUCUUUGAACGCACAUUGCGCCCCUUGGUAUUCCAUGGGGCAUGCCUGUUCGAGCGUCAUUUGUACCCUCGAGCUCUGCUUGGUGUUGGGUGUUUGUCCCCGUCUCCGCGCGUGGACUCGCCCCAAAGUGAUUGGCAGCCGGCGUACUGGUCCCGGAGCGCAGCACAUGUCGCGCAAACGAGUGCCUUGGUACGGCGGCGUCCAUAAGCCCCUCUCUCACGCUCUUGACCUCGGAUCAGGUAGGGAUACCCGCUGAACUUAAGC